UUGAAAGUUUCUUAAAAUGUAGAAAAGGAAAGCCAUUGGACUUUGUAAAUAAAAAUCUACAUGUUGAAAAGAUCAAAUAUGAUGAUGACGGUAAAUUUUAUUCAACUGACUGUUAACACUACAAAACAUGCUGCAAUGUACUGGCAGCAUUGAUUAAUACAGUUAAUUCAUGAUAAAUGGCCAAGCAAUUUCUAAGUCCACCAGUAAGCUGGAUUCUAGUUUGUGAGUGGUUAACAUCUUUUUGCUAUAUGAGUGUUAAAGUUACUUCAGGUUCUCAGCAAAUUUGCAUAGGUGUUAAGGAGAAAGCUACAUUAGUUAGGAAACUAAAAGUAUUUUACAAUUACACAUAGACAAUUAUAUUUUAUGUAUUAGAAAAUAUGGUUUACUAUUAUAUUUUUUUGGAAAAGGGUGAGGCAUUUUAAAUGAUCCUAUGUUAGGCUUGCUUCUGGUUGACUAUUAUAUUCCCUUCUUCUUCUUAAUCGGGAGAAGUCAUUAUUCUGGUGGGUUGUUUUGGGGCCACAUAUUAUAAAACACUGGGUCACCUUGAGGGCUGGACCCACCUCCACCCUUUCUUUUAUGUCUUCCUGCUUCAGAAUUUAGCAGGGCCCAGCCCACCAGGGAGAUUCUCUUUCCUUUGUGCACACCAGCUUUUCUCUUUCUCUAAAUCACGGUGGCUGGCUUAGGUACCUAUUGGAUGCAGUUUGGUGAGCCCUGGACAUUCUUACUCUGAAUAUCACCUUGUAACACUGAAUAGGCAUUAUUCAAAAUCCAGGGAAAGUAAGAGAGACCUAGACUACGUGGCAAAUCUAAACUAUGAUGCAUUGCAGACUGCUAUCAUUCCCUUUUUAAUGUUAAAAUUUAAGUCCAAUCUGAAAACAUCUGUAGUGUGUACAGUAUUCUAGGAAUCCUGCAAGGAAAUGAAGCAAAUGAUAGGAUAGGAUUUGGUGAUAUCUGUUCCUGCCCUAUAAU
Molecule: long non-coding RNA, 969 nt
Organism: Pipistrellus kuhlii (Kuhl's pipistrelle)
Lineage: Eukaryota; Metazoa; Chordata; Mammalia; Chiroptera; Vespertilionidae
Exons: 2
Source: RefSeq, a predicted model, not a curated record